This 76-nucleotide transfer RNA is filed under the name Clostridiaceae bacterium. RNAcentral's name for it is "tRNA-Thr". It matches the Rfam family "tRNA". From Rfam's summary of the family: Transfer RNA (tRNA) molecules are approximately 80 nucleotides in length. Their secondary structure includes four short double-helical elements and three loops (D, anti-codon, and T loops). Lineage: Bacteria; Bacillati; Bacillota; Clostridia; Eubacteriales; Clostridiaceae. RNAcentral also lists the same sequence under 4 other names. The record is from RNAcentral.
GCCUCCAUAGCUCAGUAGGUAGAGCGCAUCCAUGGUAAGGAUGAGGUCACCAGUUCAAAUCUGGUUGGAGGCUCCA